Molecule: ribosomal RNA, 459 nt
Filed under: uncultured bacterium
Lineage: Bacteria
Description: partial 16S ribosomal RNA
Rfam family: Bacterial small subunit ribosomal RNA
Source: RNAcentral
CCUACGGGAGGCAGCAGUGAGGAAUAUUGGUCAAUGGGCGCGAGCCUUAACCAGCCCAGUCGCGUGAGGGAAGACGGUCCUAUUGAUUGUAAACCUCUUUUGUCGGGGAGCAAAAGACGCCACGCGUGGCGUUCCGAGAGUACCCGAAGAAAAAGCAUCGGCUAACUCCGUGCCAGCAGCCGCGGUAAUACGGAGGAUGCGAGCGUUAUCCGGAUGUAUUGGGUUUAAAGGGUGCGCAGGCGGAAGAUCAAGUCAGCGGUAACAUUGAGAGGCUCAACCUCUUCGAGCCGUUGAAACUGGUUUUCUUGAGUGAGUGAGAAGUAUGCGGAAUGCGUGGUGUAGCGGUGAAAUGCAUAGAUAGCACGCAGAACUCCGAUUGCGAAGGCAGCAUACCGGCGCUCAACUGACGCUCAUGCACGAAAGUGUGGGUAUCGAACAGGAUUAGAUACCCGGGUAGUC